GAGUUUGAUCCUGGCUCAGGAUGAACGCUAGCUACAGGCUUAACACAUGCAAGUCGCGGGGCAGCAUGGAUGUCCUUUCGGGGACAUCUGAUGGCGACCGGCGUACGGGUGAGUAACGCGUAUCCAACCUGCCCUUUACAACGGGACAGCCCGUCGAAAGGCGGAUUAAUACCGUAUGUUGUCAUGUUGAUGCAUAUUUUCAUGACCAAAGGCUUCGGCCGGUAAAGGAUGGGGAUGCGUCUGAUUAGCUUGCCGGCGGGGUAACGGCCCACCGGGGCGACGAUCAGUAGGGGUUCUGAGAGGAAGGUCCCCCACAUUGGAACUGAGACACGGUCCAAACUCCUACGGGAGGCAGCAGUGAGGAAUAUUGGUCAAUGGGCGCGAGUCUGAACCAGCCAAGUAGCGUGCAGGACGACGGCCCUAUGGGUUGUAAACUGCUUUUAUACGGGGAUAAAGUAUGCCACGUGUGGUUUAUUGCAGGUACCGUAUGAAUAAGGACCGGCUAAUUCCGUGCCAGCAGCCGCGGUAAUACGGAAGGUCCGGGCGUUAUCCGGAUUUAUUGGGUUUAAAGGGAGCGUAGGCCGGGUUUUAAGCGUGCCGUG
RNAcentral lists this ribosomal RNA (602 nucleotides) under uncultured bacterium. RNAcentral's name for it is "bacterial SSU rRNA". It matches the Rfam family "Bacterial small subunit ribosomal RNA", at positions 9 to 596 of the family's 1533-position model. The record is from RNAcentral.